This 628-nucleotide ribosomal RNA is filed under the name uncultured bacterium. Its description in RNAcentral is "bacterial SSU rRNA". It matches the Rfam family "Bacterial small subunit ribosomal RNA", at positions 555 to 1174 of the family's 1533-position model. The record is from RNAcentral.
UGGGCGUAAGGGUGCGUAGGCGGCGCGGUAAGUCGGGUGUGAAAUCUCGGAGCUUAACUCCGAAACUGCAUUCGAUACUGCCGUGCUUGAGGACUGGAGAGGAGACUGGAAUUUACGGUGUAGCGGUGAAAUGCGUAGAUAUCGUAAGGAAGACCAGUGGCGAAGGCGGGUCUCUGGACAGUUCCUGACGCUGAGGCACGAAGGUCAGGGGAGCAAACGGGAUUAGAUACCCCGGUAGUCCUGACAGUAAACGGUGCACGUUUGGUGUGGGAGGAUUCGACCCCUUCUGCGCCGGAGCUAACGCGUUAAACGUGCCGCCUGGGGAGUACGGUCGCAAGAUUAAAACUCAAAGAAAUUGACGGGGGCCCGCACAAGCGGUGGAGUAUGUGGCUCAAUUCGAUGCAACGCGAAGAACCUUACCAGGCCUUGACAUGCAUCUCUAAGUUGGUGAAAGCCAGCGAGUCCCGAAAGGGACAAUUUGCACAGGUGCUGCAUGGCUGUCGUCAGCUCGUGUCGUGAGAUGUUGGGUUAAGUCCCGCAACGAGCGCAACCCCUGUGAACUGUUGCCACGGAACCGAGAGGUUCCAGCACUCUGUUCAGACUGCCCCGCUCUAACGGGGAGGAAGGU